Molecule: long non-coding RNA, 13396 nt
Filed under: Triticum aestivum (bread wheat)
Lineage: Eukaryota; Viridiplantae; Streptophyta; Magnoliopsida; Poales; Poaceae
Description: long non-coding RNA (TAES_LNC004574)
Source: RNAcentral
ACAAGCUUGGGGAGGCUUUGCCAAUUACUUAAUGCUUUGCCUGAUCAUCCUCUUAAGAAAAAUGAAAUACUUGAAAUCUUCUAUAAUGGACUAAACAAUGCUUCUAGGGACUUCCUAGAUAGUUGUGCUGGUUGUGUUUUCAGGGAACGAACUAUUUCUCAAGCUGAAGAAUUAUUGAAUAAUAUAUUGAAAAAAAUAUGAUGAUUGGACUCUUCCUGAACCACCGCCUAAACCCACUCUGAAGAAGAGGAGUAUAUUAUAUCUCAGUCCCGAAGAUAUGCAAGAGGCAAAGAAAUCUAUGAAGGAAAAAGGUAUUAAAGCUGAGGACAUUAAAAAUUUACCUCCUAUUGAAGAAAUACAUGGGCUUAAUACACCACCACUGCCUAAGGUGGUAGAGGUAAAUUCUCUUAUGAAGUUCAAUGAAAAUGAAAAUCCUCACAAUAUGCACCCUAGUCAAUGCCUUCAUGAGUUUGAAAACUAUAUUAGAAAACAAGAUCACUUCAAUGCAAAUGUUAUGAAACAAUUGAAAUACAAUUCUGAUAUGAUUGCUCGCUUUAGUGACUUGUUAUUUAGAAUCUCAAAUGAUGUUAGAGGUGUUGGAAAACAUGCUUCUAUGGUUCAAACUCAACUAGAACAAGUUGCUAAAUCACAAAGAGAAUUACUUGAUGAAAUGAAUCAUAAUAUGCAUGACUUUGCUGUUAGAGUCGCAAUUAGAGGAGGUAAAAUGACCCAGGAACCACUUUAUCCUGAGGGACACCCUAAAAGAAUUAUACAAGAUUCACAAAGAGCUAAUACUACUGCACCUAGUACUUCUAAAAAGAAAAGGAAAAAGAAAAAUGAUAGGACUUUGCAUGCUUCUAGUGAACCUAAAAUAGAAAAACCUCCUGAUAAUGAAAAUGAAACUUCUAUCUCAGAUGCUGAAACUCAAUCUGGUAAUGAACAUCCACCUAGUGAUAAUGAAAAAGAUAAUGCUGAUGUUCAUGAAGAUGCUCAACCAAAUGAAAAAGAACCAGAUAAUGAUGUUGAGAUAGAACCACCUGUUGAUCUUGAUAACCCACAACCUAAAAAUAAAAGGCAUGAUAAAAGAGACUUUGUGGCUAGGAAACACGGUAAAGAAAGAGAACCGUGGGUUCAAAAACCUAUGCCUUUUCCACCCAAGUCAACUAAAAAGAAUGAUGAUGAAGAAUUUGAACGCUUUGCUGAAAUGUUGAGGCCAGUCUUUUUGCGUACUCGCUUGACUGAUAUCUUGAAAAUGCCUCCUUAUGCAAAGCAUAUGAAAGACAUCAUCACUAAUAAGAGAAAAAUACCGGAAGCUGAAAUCUCCAGUAUGCUUACUAAUUAUGCUUUCAAAGAUGGAGUACCUAAAAACUUGGAGAUCCGGGUAUACCAACUAUACCUUGCUCUAUCAAAAAGAAUUAUGUGAAAACUGCUUUGUGUGAUUUAGGAGCUGGUGUUAGUGUUAUGCCUUUCUCUUUAUAUAAAAGACUUGACUUGAAUAAACUUACACCUACUGAAAUAUCUUUGCAAAUGGCUGACAAGUCAACUUCCAUACCUAUCGGUAUCUGUGAGGAUGUGCCCAUUGUUGUUGCUAAUGUUACUAUUUUGACUGACUUUGUUAUACUUGAGAUGCCCGAGGACAACAACAUGUCGAUUAUCCUUGGUAGACCCUUCUUGAAUACUGCAGGGGCUGUUAUUGAUUGCAAUAAAAGCAAGGUCACUUUUCAUAUUAAUGGUAAUGAGCAUACGGUGCACUUUCCGAAGAAACAAUUCCACGUGAAUGGUAUUAAUGUUAUUGAAAAAUCUCCGACAAUCACUAUUGGAAGUUUUCAAAUACCUCUACCUACUGUCAAAAAGAAAUAUGAAAUGCUUAUUGUUGGGUAGAUGCAAAUCCCCAUUGAGGUAACUUAGUGAUUUACGAAAGUUCUUCGGUUUCAUGCUAAUCGAAAGUGGUUGUUAAUAAGACCUCAUCACCUUAUUAAUGAAUCAUUUUUGAACGGUAUGAGAUUGAUGAAUUUAGUAAGCACUACUCUCUGUCCCUACUCUUUAUUCUGUGUUUUUAUUAGUUAAAUAAAAUGAAAUGCAUGUUUUGUCUGUUUUCUGAAUUUCCCGUGCAAUAAAAAAUGACCCAAAAAUAAAAGUUCUCAGAAUGCCCUGAAAAUUUUAUAUGAUUUUUUUCUGAAUAUUUAAGAAAUUUUGGUGCAAAUAAUACGAGAGGGGAGUGCACCUGGUGGGCACAACCCACCAGGGCGCGCCAGCACCCCCUGGCGUGCCGUGGGGGUUGUGGUCCCCACGUGGGCCCCCUGACUUACUUCUUCCUCCCACACGGUCACUUACCUCCAGAAAAAAUCACUCUAGCUCUCUCUCGUGUUCUUGCUCCCGAAACCGCGGAUUUCGAUCUCUUUGCUCGAAGCUCCGUUUCCGAAACUGUUUCGGGUAUUUGUUGCGUGGUAUGUGACUCCACCACUUGUCCAAUUAGUUUUUGUUUUAGUGGUUUAUACUUUGAAUAAAUAGCUACUCUUGGUGUUGUUGUAGAUGUGCUUGCAUGUUCAAUUCUUAGUGUUCUAAGUAGUUUGAAUGCUUGCUAUGGCCUCUAUGUAUCCCUAUGAGUAGUUGCUAUUAGCUUUGUGAAGUUUUGUUGGUAAAAUUUUGUGGACUAAAAAUUCAGAUUUUUGUUCAUAGGAAAAAUUGUACACGGACAUUAUGAACCUAUUUGGAAGGAGUUCUUCGAGGAGAAGGUCCUCGGGGGCAUCUUCUAGUGACAGCUCUACUCGCCGGUCUUAUGUUGAACCAAGUGAAAGUUCCACGCGAGAUGCCGCUACCAAAACUUGCUUAUGGCCUUGCGAUGAGUAUAUGCUGCAAGUGGGCAUUAAGGAGGAAUUUGAACAAUAUGUUCACAAUGCCGGUCUCGGUCCCUACCUUUCAGAUAAGUGUGAACAACGCCAUCUUCUCACUGAAUCAUUUGUAAAAGGAUUUAAAUAUUUUCCACGUGAGUCUAGGGUGUCGUUUAUGCUUUAUGAUGAACCAUUUACUAUCCCACUAUAGAACUUUGCUUACCAUUGCAAACUUCCAUUUUGGGGUUCGCUUGAUGAGCCGGCGAAGGGUGAGUAUAAGUCUUUCUUGACUAGCCUUUGCUACGGUGAAAAUAGGGGGUGAGGCAAGGUAGAAUAAAGAGCAUUCACUUUCCCGCAAUUUAGUACUUUGCUUUAUUUAACGGGAAGUGCAUAGUAGGCAAGCAAGACUGUAGCAUACUUUGUGCGCCAGAAUUGAGCCUUGUUCAUACCGCUCUCACAGGUGAAAGGAAUUAUAACCUUGCAACGAUUGUUGCACAUAGACUUCAGCAUAAUGCCAAAAGUGGUUGGUUCUAUAGUGGAAUUUAUGCCACACGUCUAGCACGAGGGUUGGGUGUUUCGCCUUUACCCUUUGAUCCUAUCCUACCCACACAGUAUUUAGAUUUUGAGACCUUAAAGGAUCAUAAGAUUCUCAAGGGAAGGGCUGAUAACUUCACUUAUAAUCUGAUGUUUAACCAAUCACAUGUUGUGGACACAUAUUUGCCUGCGCCUGCUCUUUUGGACUAUAACAACAGGGAAAGAUACUUCGUUCUUGAGAGCGAGGCCCGAGCUCACAACGCAGCAGUGUUGGCGGCACGGCGCGCUGAGGCCUCCACCCCGAGAGCCUUCGCGAGCUACCACGCCGACUACUACCCUCCAGGCUACUGAUCGACUACCAAGCUAGGCCAAAAUCCUAAGCUUGGGGGAGUACGUGUUUCUCACCGACAUUAUAUUCAUGUUCACAUAUCAUUCUAUUUGUCGGUGUUCACACUUUUUCAUUGUAUCAUCCAUGCUUAGAUUAAUUUUCUUGCUUUCUUCUUGUGUGCUUGAAAAACAUUAGAAAAACCAAAAAAAAUAGUUGUAGUAAUUUACUUUCUAUGCAUGCUUAGUAGUAGAGCUAAAAAGAAAAUCCGAAAAGAUUUCCUUGUUCUUCUUUUGCUUGUUGGGAGCUUUCCCGUGUAAAUAGUUUUUCUCGUUUUUGAUUUUUCCCUUUUAUUUCCUUGUUCAAGAAAACCAAAAACUCCAAAAAUAUUUCGGUGUGUUUCUCUGAAUUUCUUUUCUUUUUAUACGAGUCUUACCGAGGAGAAGACCACAAUGAAAAUGUUGAGUGGCUCUCAUAUGAAUAACUGUUGAACUAAUAAAGAGCACAUUUUACCUUGUCUUCUCCUGUUGAAUAAAAUGUUUUGCAGAUUCCAGUUUAGUCCAUGGCACUCUUGCAUUAUUAUUAUUUUCAUAUCAUUCGGUCAUGCAAGUGAAAGGCAAUAAUGACGAUAUUCGAUGAGCUGGCCGUGGCAAAGAGAAACUGGUAUGAACUUGACAUGUUCUUGUUGUGUAAAUAUGUUUAACCUAGUGCCCAUGCUUCAGCCCAUUAUGAUUAAACAUGCUUGCAAUGACAAUUAGAGAUUAUAGUUUCUCGUGCCAUGCAUAAGUAGCUGGGAGUUGAUAAUGAUUUAUCUGGGAUAUCAACAUAGCGUUAAAAUGAUUGUGAUGUAGUAUGAUGAUAUGGUAUCCUCCUCUAAAAGUUCGAGUGGCUUGACUUGGUACAUGUUCACGCAUGUAGUUGAACAAAACCAACAUAGCCUCUAUAAUAUUUAUGUUCAUGGUGUUCAUAUCCUACUCAUGCUAGUGUCCAAUGUUACUUAUGCAUAAUGCUUGGUUAUGAUCGUUGUUGCUAUCUAGCUGGCUGCUUCCCAAUCUUAAUUGCUAGCCUUCGCCUGUACUAAGUGGGAACUCUGCUUGUACAUCAAAAACCUUAAACCCAAAGUUAUUCCAGAUGAGUCCACCAUACCUACCUAUGUACGGUAUUACCCUGCCGUCCUAAGUAAAUUUGCAUGUGCCACCUCUAAAAACUUCUAAAAAUUAUCCUUUUGUGUGCCUGGAUCGUUCGUGGAACGAUGGGAGGUGGUCGAUAUCUUCCGUUCUAAGCAUGUUAUCCUCAGGUCGAGUGUUUAUUCACUCGCCAUCGCACGAGGAAAUGGGCAGUUUAGGGAUGCCCAGUCCCAAAUUGCAAACAUGAAAAAGAGUGCAUCUCUUUAAUAAUCAAACAAAAACUCCCAAUGGAGUCAAAACCUUUACUUUCCGCUUGGGAACCGCCACUAGCGUGCUUAGCAUGGAAGAUGUUGAUAACUGAUGGUCGUGAAGUGAAUGAGAAGGGGGCAUGUCUCAAAAUAUCAUUUAUCUCUAUUUUAAAAACUGAGCUCCGGCACCUCUGCAAAUCACUGCUUCCCUCUACGAAGGGACUUUCUAUUUACUUUCAUGUUGUGUCAUCACCUUCUAAAAACAAGCGCCAGAAACUGGGGAGAGCAGAGCUGUCAUGAUUUAUGCAUUGUGUAUAGCUAAUGUUGGGUGCAUCAUGACUGGAUCUUUUCUACCAUGAAUUGCAAUGUUUAGUCACUGCUUGAACUUUGGAGGUGCUCUGCAUUUAUGUUUUGCGGUCUCAGAAAGGGCUAGCGAGAUACCACUAUUGUCAUAUUAUAUCAUGGUUGUUUUGACAAUGUGUUGCUAUUUGAGAUAUUUUAUUAUGGCUCGCUAGCUGAUUAUGUCAUUGAUAUGAAUCAUUGUAAUCUUUAAAUGUUAUUGUUGACAUGGUUAGUUAUAAUGCUGGCUGAAAACCUGGGUGCUGUUUAAGCUUAUUUAUGCAAACAAGAGCAAAAGAGUUCGUAAAAGUUUUUCUUUCUCACUUUCAGUUUAUCAACUGAAUUGCUUGAGGACAAACAAAGGUUUAAGCUUGGGGGAGUUGAUACAUCUCCAACGUAUCUACUUUUUCUCACGCUUUUCCUCUUGUUUUGGACUCUAAUUUGCAUGAUUUGAAUGAAACUAACCCCGGACUGACCCUGUUUUCAGCAGAACUACCAUGGUGUUGUUUUUGUGCAGAAAUAAAAGUUCUUGGAAUGAAGUGAAACUUUGCGAGGAUUUUUUAUAUCAAUAAUAAGAACUUUUGGAGCCAAGAACCACCAGAGAGGUGCCCCUGGCUAGGCACAACCCACCAGGGUGCGCCCCCCUCUCCUGGCGCGCCCAGGUGGGUUGUACCCACCUGGUGGCCCUGCUGAAGACCCCCUUGAUACUAUAAAUUCACAUUAUUCUAGAAAAAAAUUAGGGAGAAAGAAUUAUCGCGUUUCACGAGACGGAGCAGCCGCCAAGCCCUGUUCUUCCUCGGGAGGGCAGAUCUGGAGUCCGUUUGGGGCUCCGGAGAGGGAGAUCUUCGUUCUUCGUCAUCACCAACCAAUCUCCAUCGCCAAUUCCAUGAUGCUCCCCACCGGGAGUGAGUAAUUCCUUCGUAGGCUCGCUGGUCGGUGAGGAGUUGGAUGAUAUUCAUCAUGUAAUUGAGUUAGUUUUGUUAGGCUCCGAUCCCUAGUAUCCAGUAUGUUCUUAGAUUGAUGUUGCUAUGACUUUGCUAUGCUUAAUGCUUGUCACUUUGGGCCCGGGUGCCAUGAACUCAGAUCUAAACCAUUUAUGAAUUCAUCAUUAUAUCCAUGUUUUAGAUCCGAUCUUGCAAGUUAUAGUCACCUACUACGUGUUAUGAUCCGGCAACCCCGGAGUGACAACAACCGGGCCCACUCCCGGUGAUGACCGUAGUUUAAGGAGUUCAUGUAUUCACUAUGUGUAAUGCUUUGUUCCGGUUCUCUAUUAAAAGGAGGCCUUAAUAUCCCUUAGUUUCCAAUAUGGACCCCGCUGCCACGGGAGGGUAGGACAAAAGAUGUCAUGCAAGUUCUUUUACUAAAGAACGUAUGACUAUUUACGGAAUACAUGCCUAUAUUAUAUCGAUGAACUGGAGCUAGUGCCGUAACGCCCUAGGUUAUAAAUGCCACAUGAUGAAUAUCAUCCAACAAGUCACCGAUCCAAUGCCUACGAAUUUAUCCUUAUUGAUCUUGAUGCAUUACUAUUGCUAUCAUCACUGAUACACUUGCUACAAAUUACUGUUAUCACUGUUACUGUUACUGUUGCUGCUGCCACUACUAUCAAAACUAUCAAACUACUUUGCUACUGAUCACUUUGCUGCAGAUAAUUAAUCUCCAGGUGUGGUUGCAUUGACAACUCAGCUGCUAAUAUCUUCAAAUAUUCUUUGGCUCCCCUUGUGUCGAAUCUAUAAAUUUGGCUUGAAUACUCUACCCUCGAAAACUGUUGCGAUCCCCUAUACUUGUGGGUUAUCAAUGUGCAUUACCGAGAGGGCCCAGAGAUACCUCUCCGAUACUCGGAGUGACAAAUCCUAAUCUUGAUCUAUGCCAACCCAACAAACACCUUCGGAGACACCUGUAGAGCAUCUUUAUAAUCACCCAGUUAUGUUGUGACAUUUGAUAGCACACAAGGUGUUCCUCCGGUAUUCGGGAGUUGCAUAAUCUCAUAGUCAGAGGAAUAUGUAUAAGUCAUGAAGAAAGCAAUAGCAAUAAAACUUAACGAUCAUUAUGCCAAGCUAAUGGAUGGGUCUUGUCCAUCACAUCAUUCUCUAAUGAUGUGAUCCCGUUCAUCAAAUGACAACACAUGGCUAUGGUCAGGAAACUUAACCAUCUUUGAUUAACGAGCUAGUCUAGUAGAGGCUUACUAGGGACACAAUGUUUUGUCUAUGUAUCCACACAUGUAUCAAGUUUCUGGUCAAUACAAUUCUAGCAUGAAUAAUAAACAUUUAUCAUGAUAUAAGGAAAUAUAAAUAACAACUUUAUUAUUGCCUCUAGGGCAUAUUUCCUUCAUGAUCAUCACAGAGAUUAAAGCUAUCUCGACCGCCUUCAUAUAUUGCAAGCUGAGGUCUUCUAUAGUAGUGACCGGCUAACAUGAGCGUUCCAAUCAGAUAACCCAGAGGUCAAGUUUGACCAAACUAGCAUCCGAUGAAGUAGUAUUCAUUGAUAAGGCGUAAAAACUGGUGGGAUAAACAUAUCCAGAAGGGUUGGAGGCAUUUUUGGGAGAAGGAAAAUUUAUGCUCAUCGACAAGUGCUCGUCCGGUGACUCUAGUCCAUCCAACUAGGUGAAUGCCCAUGCAUGGCCACACUGGUAUAAAUUUAAUAUGUGUAAAUAUGGAUUCUCAAAAAAUAUUAUAGUUAAAUUGCAUACAUAAUUUUACCAAUUAUUUCAAGUCCACCUUUUUAAACCAAUUUACACCUUUUAAGUAGGGUUAAUUUUAUGGAUAAACUAUCACAUUAUCCUCGCCUUUUGUGUGCAUUCGAAUUUAUCAUGUGUCAUACUUUGUGGCUUUUGCAAUGCUCCCCUUCUCUAAAAGAACUCAUCUUUAUCUCCCUUACAGGCGGAAAAAGAUAGAGCUACCCUCACUUAAAUGGGAAAACUUUGUUUUUGCCAACUUUGCUUAUGCCACUCUAGAAUUUGACAUUUCACUUUUGCCACUCUUAGCUUUUGACAAUAUAUCACGUUUGCCAUUCCGUGGCAAAAGCAAAAUUUUCAGAGUGGCAAUUAUGAUACAUUGUCAAAAGCUAAGAGUGGCAAAAGUGAAAUGGAAAAUUAUCGUUUUUGCCAUGGAAUGGCAUUUGUGAUGUAUUAUCCAAAGCCAGGAGUGGCAAAAAUGAGAUGUCAAAUUCUAGAGUGGCAUAAGCAAAAUUGGCAAAAGCUAGAGUGGCGAAAACGAAGUUUUCCCUAAAGUUUUCCCACUUAAAUCCCCAAAGUUGGCUCAUGAUAUGCAUGAGACCAAGUCAAGUUCUAGCCUUCUCCUCGGCUCACGAUGGGCUAGCCUCCGGUGCAUCCCCUUGCACAUACUUCUAUGAGCACACCCAUUUCUUUUCUUGAUCCACUAUUGUGUCAUAGUAUCAUAUGCAUCUGUGUUUCCUCAUCCACUGUGGGUCCCUUGUGCUACAAUGGUGCUUGCUGCAUUUCCAAUCGGAAACAGUCUGGUGUAGUAAGUUCAUCUGUAUUUUCAAACAUACAUAUAAGUACUUAUGUUACCAUGAUGUUUUAGAUGUCAUUCUAUAAGGAUUUCCCUUUUCUUCGAUUUUUAUCUUCCACUUUUCAUUAUAUACUAAUAUUUUAGCUAGUUUCAAAGUGCACUGUCAUCAUUGUUUUCCUUUUUGAGUAAAAUCCCUUGAUUCUUUCUAGGGAUCUAUGGGUGAUAGCUCCCAAUGGCUCACUCCUCUCGUUCUCGCCAUACCUCUCCGUUUCCCUUGAACCAACUAGAAAUCCCUGCCAGCAAGCUUUGAAACCGACAAAAGCUCUCCUAAAUCAUCCGUUCUCCAUUGUCUUCCCUCCCGCUUUGUAGUCCCCGGUAUGCUUGUCAAUCUCUACCACACUACCACGUCUAGCCAUCUCCACUCGGCCUUGUACGUGUACAAUAGCAAAAAACUUCCGUUCCAUGUAACAUUAAUCUUGUCAAGACCCAUUUCCUUACCGUAAAAUAUACUCAUGUAUGGUAUGCUCAUUUUAUACUUCUCAAUAGUUUUUUGUGCAGUGUUGUUGGACCAAGGGUUGGUGUUUCUCUGAGUCAAUCAAUGAUUGCAUAUGCCACUCACUUGGUCUUUGCUAAUUUUGUUUGGGCCUUCCCCCCUCCACAUGGACAUGUGUGAACACUCUAGUUCAAUUUUAUUUGAAAUAGAAUGAAAAAAUAAUAAUUAAUUAUACAUUGUGAUCAAGCAUGAUUGUAACUAAAAUUAAGACUGAGAUCAAUCAAAUAAGGGGUCAAUUUAAUGUAUAAUAUCUGGAUCAUUUUACUUUUACGCAUACUGGAGGCACGCAACCUCCACCUACAGCUCUCGAAUAGGUAGUGAAUCGCCAAUCUUUUUGGCUCACUCUUGUCAAUCACAAAAUCAUUUAGAGUGAAAAUCUAGUAUGUGGUAACUCCAUUCGACAGUCCUUCAUUGAUUUGAAUAUUGUUCCUGGAGUAAGUUGAGAUUUUCAUGUCCCACUCAAUUGUUAGCAUGUCAUCACCAUUGUAUUCCUCUAGAACCAACAUCAGUGUCAUCCAAUCGAGCAGGCGGGUGGGCUCCUUCGGGUACUCUUCUUCCAUUGCAUGUUGGAUGUAUUUAUCCCCCAAUUCAGUGUUGAGACACGCGGUAUGCUACUCUAGCAUUAAUUUUUUUCCUAUCGCGCAACUAAGAUCAUCCUGGUGGGGACAUAUUGCUGGAUCCAGUUUACCACUAGACGCGCAGUCACUAUAGAGGAAGUAGAGUUGGUGAUGUAUGUAGCCGACCAGCCGAGUCGUCUCCUCCUUGUGUAGCCGAUCGCCCAUGAACGAUUCCUUCUGGAUCCCUCAAACAGCUCCUUGCGGUUCCCUCGGACGGUUCGUCCUAGCACCGCAAAUGCUAUGCCUCCAAUGUAUCUGAUAACCACAAGUAUAGGGGAUCAUUUGUAGCCUUUUUCGAUUAAUAAGAGUGUCAAACCCAACAAGGAGCUAAAGGCGGAACAAAUAUUCCCUCAAGUUCUAUCGACCACCGAUACAACUCUACGCACACUUAGUGUUUUAUUUACCUAGAACAAGAAUAAAACUAGAAGUACUUUUUGAGAAUAAAACUACGAAUAAAUUGCAAGGUAAUAAAAGUAGAUGGCUUUUGUUAACAAGAAAGUCAUUUGUCCCUAGGCAAUCGAUAACUAGACCUGUAAUCAUUCUUGCAAUUUUACAUGAGGGAGAGGCAUGAGCUAACAUACUUUCUCUACUUGGAUCAUAUGCACUUAUGAUUGGAACUCUAGCAAGCAUCCGCAACUACUAAAGAUCAUUAAGGUCAUAAAAUCCAACCAUAGCAUUAAGUAUCAAGUCCUCUUUACUCCCAUACGCAAUAACCCACGUAUCCGUGUUCAAGCUUCUGUCACUCCGGCAAGCGUCAAUAAGCAAAUUAUGAACAUAUUGCAACACCCUACAGCGGGGACCCCUCACGUUUGUGCGAGACAAAUGGCACCAUAGGAAAGCACCAUAAUAAAAUAUACACUCAAACCAACCACGAUCAUCAAUUAGCCCAUAGGACAAAACGGAUCAACUCAAACAUCAUAGGAUAACCACGUAUCAUUGGGAAAUAAUAUAUAGUGUUGAGCACCAUGUUUAAGUAGAGAUUACAGCGGGGAGAAGGGGUGUUACACCGCUGCAUAGAGGGGGAGAAAGUUGGUGUUGACGAUAGCAAGGUUGUUGAUGUAGAUCACCGUCACGAUCCUUCUUCUUCUUCCUUGGCCUCCCCCCUAGAUGGGAGGAGAGUUCCCCCUCUGGUCCAUGGCCUCCAUGGUGGCGGAGGGGCAGGAGCCCCUCGUAGAUUGGAUCAAUCCCCCUGUUCUCGUCGUUUUCGCGUUCCUGUUUUCUGGCCCUUCACCGUUUCUUAAAUUUCUGGAUAUCCGUAACUCCGAUCGUGCUGAGAGUUUUACACGAUUUUUUCCCUAAAUUAUCUUUCUUGCGCCCGAAGAAGGGGCCCAACCGACUUAUGGGGAGGGCACAAGACACCUGGGCGCGCCAGGGGGUGCCUGGCGUGCCCUGGUGGGUUGUGGAGGCUGUGGGCCUCCGUUAGCGUUGAUUCCACCUCCCCAAAAAUCACAUAUAUUCCAAAAUAAUUUUCCGUAAAUUUUUAUCGCGUUUGGACUUCAUUUGAGAUGGAUAUUCUGCGAAACAAAAAACAUGCAACAAACAGGAACUGGCACUGGGCACUGGAUCAAUAGGUUAGUCCAAUAAAUCAUAUAAAAUAUUGCCAAAAGUACGUGAAAGUUGUAUAAUAUUGGCAUGGAACAAUAAAAAAUUAUAGAUACGACGGAGACGUAUCAGCAUCCCCAAGCUUAAUUCCUGCUCGUCCUCGAGUAGGUAAAUGAUAAAAAGAUAAUUUUUGAUGUGGAAUGUUACCAAGCCUAAUCUUGAUCAUAUAUCUAAUCAUAGCAUGAAUAUUAAGACACGAGUGAUUCAAAGCAGUAGUCUAUAAUUUGACAUAAAGACAUCAAUACUCACGCAUCCCAACAAACAAUCAUGUCUUUCAAAAUGUCAAUGCUAAAGAACGUUAUCCCUACAAAAUCAUAUAGUCUUGUCAUGCUCUAUCUUCUUAACACAAAGUAUUUAUCAUGAACUACCCCGGUGUCAGCCAAGCAAUUGGUUUACACUUUUAACGCGCCUCAGCAUUUUCAACUCUCACGCAAUACAUGAGCGCAAGCCAUGGAUAUUGCACUAUGGGUGGAAUAGAGUAUGAUGAUAGGGGUAAAUAUAGAGAAGACAAAAAAGUAAGAAAGUCUCACAUCGACGCGGCUAACCAAUGGGCUAUGAGGAUGCCCAUCAAUUGAUAUCAAUGCGAGGAGUAGGGAUUGCCUUGCAACAAAUACAGUAAGAGAUAUAAGUGUAUGAAAGCUCAAUAUGAAAACUAGGUGGGUGUGCAUCUAAUCCUAUAAUGAAAAAUUCCCACUAGUAUAUGAAAGUGAUAACAUAGGAGACUCUCUAUAUGAAAAACAUGGUGCUACUUUGAAGCACAAGUGUGGAAUUAGCAUGCCCCUUCUAUUCCUUCUUUCUUUCAUUUUUUUCUUUUUCUUUUCUUUUUCUUUUUCUUUUCUUUUCCUUUUUUUUGGUCCGGAGUCUCAUCCCAACUUGUGGGGGAAUCAUAGUCUCCAUCAUCCAUUCCUUACUGGGACAAUGCGGUCAUCACACUUCGAUUCACCUACAACUCAAUAUUACAACUCGAUACCUAUAACAAAAUAUGACUCUAUAUGAAUGCCUCAGGCAGUGUACCAGGAUGUGCAAUGAUCUAGCGUAACAUGUAUAAAAAAUGAUAAACGGUGGCUGAGCCACAAAUACUAUGUCAGCUAUAUGAUCGUGCAAAGCAAUAUGACAAUGAAUGCUUAAGUCAUCAAAAUGGAAGCGGUGGAAGUUGCAUGGCAAUAUAUCUCGGAAUGGCUAUGGAAAGGCCAUAAUAGGUAGGUAUGGUGGCUGUUUUGAGGAAGAUAUAAUAAGUCUUAUGUGUGAUAGAGCGUAUCAUAUCACGGGGUUUGGAUGCACCAGCGAAGUUUGCACCGACUCUCGAGGUGAGAAAGGGCAAUGCACGGUACCAUAGAGGCUAGCAAAUUGCGGAAAGGUAAGAGUGCGUAUAUUCCAUGGACUCACAUUAGUCAUAAAGAACUCAUAUACUUAUUGCAAAAGUUUAUUAGCCCUCGAAGCAAAAUACUACUACGCAUGCCCCUAGGGGCGAGGUUGGUAGGAGUUAACCAUCGUGCACCCCCGACCUCUACGCAAAGGAAGACAAUCAAUAAUAAAUCAUGCUCCAACUUCAUAGCAUAACGAGAGACUAUACGUGCAUGCUUCGGGAAUCACAGACCUUAACACCAAUAUCUUACUAAACACGAUCAUCCACUAGUACCUUGAUACGUCUCCGUCGUAUCUAUAAUUUUUGAUUGUUUCAUGCCAAUAUUAUACAAGUUUUACAUACUUUUGGCAACAUUUUAUAUGAUUUAUUGGACUAACCUAUUGAUCC